UUAGCUUGUCCUAAGUCAAAGUUAUCUAACUUCGACCAAGUCUAUAUAAAAAUAUGUUAACAUCUAUAAUACUAAAUAAAUACGCUCUAAAAACGUAUUUCAUGGUGAAUUUAAUGAAACUAAUUUGAUGUUGUAGAUGUUAGUGUAUUUUCUUAUAAAUUUGGUCAAAAUUCGAGAAGUUUGACUCAGAAUAAAAUUUA
Molecule: microRNA precursor, 200 nt
Filed under: Dichanthelium oligosanthes
Lineage: Eukaryota; Viridiplantae; Streptophyta; Magnoliopsida; Poales; Poaceae
Description: MIR1435 microRNA precursor family
Rfam family: MIR1435 microRNA precursor family
Source: Rfam by way of RNAcentral